RNAcentral lists this ribosomal RNA (497 nucleotides) under uncultured bacterium. RNAcentral's name for it is "partial 16S ribosomal RNA". It matches the Rfam family "Bacterial small subunit ribosomal RNA", at positions 28 to 507 of the family's 1533-position model. The record is from RNAcentral.
GAUGAACGCUGGCGGCGUGCCUAAUACAUGCAAGUCGAGCGAACAGACGAGGGGCUUGCUCCUCUGACGUUAGCGGCGGACGGGUGAGUAACACGUGGAUAACCUACCUAUAAGACUGGGAUAACUUCGGGAAACCGGAGCUAAUACCGGAUAAUAUAUUGAACCGCAUGGUUCAAUAGUGAAAGACGGUUUUGCUGUCACUUAUAGAUGGAUCCGCGCCGCAUUAGCUAGUUGGUAAGGUAACGGCUUACCAAGGCAACGAUGCGUAGCCGACCUGAGAGAGUGAUCGGCCACACUGGAACUGAGACACGGUCAAUACUCCUACGGUAGGAAGCAGUAGGGAAUCUUCCGCAAUGGGCGAAAGCCUGACGCAGCAGCGCCGCGUGAGUGAUGAAGUUUUUCGGAUCGUAAAACUCUGUUAUUAGGGAAGAACAAAUGUGUAAGUAACUAUGCACGUCUUGACGGUACCUAAUCAGAAAGCCACGGCUAACUACGUG